UAGGGAAUCUUCCACAAUGGGGCGAAAGCCUGAUGGAGCAACGCCGCGUGUGUGAUGAAGGCUUUAGGGUCGUAAAGCACUGUUGUAUGGGAAGAAAUGCUAGAAUAGGGAAUGAUUCUAGUUCGACGGUACCAUACCAGAAAGGGCGGCUAAAUACGUGCCAC
This 164-nucleotide ribosomal RNA is filed under the name uncultured bacterium. RNAcentral's name for it is "partial 16S rRNA". It matches the Rfam family "Bacterial small subunit ribosomal RNA", at positions 355 to 511 of the family's 1533-position model. The record is from RNAcentral.